Molecule: long non-coding RNA, 4813 nt
Filed under: Aquilegia coerulea
Lineage: Eukaryota; Viridiplantae; Streptophyta; Magnoliopsida; Ranunculales; Ranunculaceae
Description: long non-coding RNA (ACOE_LNC001286)
Source: RNAcentral
ACACAUCGAGAAGAAGACAACAAGAAAAAGAGAAAAGCAGUAGCAGCGAGUGAAGAACAUAUAUGCUUCACCCAAAAAUAUGGUACAUGCAUCUUACAAAUGCAUGUAAACAUGGAGAGAUGUAUGACGAAUUAUUUUCCUAACCAGAACAGGUAAGCCAUAUAUUUCUUCUUAAUUUUUCGAAUUUCUAUUCGUGCAAUUUACUUAUUUAUAGGACAAAAAUGAUCUUAUAGCUAAUGUAUUCUUUGCCAGCAAACAGAAGCCUUGAUCCCGUAAAACUCUUUUCCUCUAAACCUAAAUUAACCUACAAUAUUUCUUAGAGGUACAGAUUACUUCUAAAUUCCUUCUACUCUUUCUUUUGUAAAAACUUCAAGAAGUUUAAUCACAUCGCAGUCAAAAAACGUUCUUCGUCGAUAAUAUACAUAUCACAUCACAACGGGUAAAACAUAAUCCUUUGAUAUCAACUGUUGGUUCUCUUUAAUAGCAUAUAUAAUCUCUACUGCUUGCGCUACUCACUAGGUUUGCUACCAAAAUUUUAGGGAAUUGAGAGAAUUUAAUUUUCUGAUUUGGAUUGUGUUAAUCCAAAUCAAAAUAAAUUAAGUUUUGUAUUGUGUUAAUCCAAAAAGCUAAGUACUUUUAGCUUUUUAAUUUUUUGUAUUGUGUUAAUCUUAUUUUUGUUUUUCCAUACUCAAUUUUAAGUUUUUCUAAAUUUUUACUACCCUGUUCGAAUAAAUUAAAUUUCCAUGUUAAUAGCAAUCCAUCUUAUAUGCAUCUUUGUAAUCUACUUAUCUAAUACAGCUAAUGGGGUAGAAUGAAGUUGUUUCAUGUAUAUAUAUUUUUUUGUAAACAUGCCUAGAAGAUAAAAUUUUCAAGGAUGGCGAUGUUAUUUAACGUGGAUGUAUAAAAUUUAAAAGUGAAGAUGCAGAGUCUACUAAAGUACUAAAGUUGUAGCUGUUGAGGUGGAAAAACUCCUAAUCAUCAGCCAUGAUUUAAGCGAUGUUAUACUGGAAGGAUAGUAUAAGCUACAAUUAGAUGUUGAAUUCUAAGGUAAGUAAUAUAGGUAGGCUCGAAUAACAGCACUAUAAAGUUAGAUAAUAUAAGUUGUAAUGGCCAAGCACAUGAGUUAGCAGCUUGGGCCAAUGUUGAAUUUGAUAUAAGGCCAACACCUGAAUCGUCUGACGACUAUUAUAUAUUUUAAAGAUUUUUUUAGUGAAAAUAACAAAUCUGCAUGUGAUAUAUAGUUCAUCAACAAAAAUCAUAUAUAGUUCAUCAGUUUAUAAAUUGAUCGAGUCUUUAAGUGUAUUUUAUUGGUAUGAUUGAAUUCUUCAUAACAUGUUUUAUUUAUUUCUAUUUUUCUUACAACUUUUACAUUGUACCUUCUUCAACAUCUUAUCUCUUCUUCUUAGGGCUUUUCUUUCCUACUCCUGGUAAUCCUAAAACAUUUUAUUCAUUUUAUUCUUUUGAUCUCUAAUGGUUUAGUAUUUGCAACAGUAGUUAUUUUCUUAAUUGUCAACAUAGAACAAUGCAUAUAUUUGUACUGCAAGAGCAAUUGAGCUAUAUCAAUUACAUGCAUUAUGAGUAGUAGCUUUAAACAUAUCCAUGUUCUUAGAUUAUUAUUGUUUAUCUAUACUCAUAUCCAUUUCCUUAGAUUUGUAUCAUCUGAAAUCCUGUUUGAUGCACAACUGCCAAGUUUAUUUCUUCUUCUUUGAUAAGAGCUUCUUCUUAUUCAUUAACUUCAUAGGUUAGAUAUUUUUUAAUGGAAUUUUUUAGUGUAAUAAAUUUUGUUUCUAUCUAAAUUGAUCCAUCACAAUAUCAUUCUCUGUCUAUUAAUUCAUAUUUUCUUUGUGCGCUUAUUUUAUAUUUGUGUGCUUCUCUUAUACAGGAUAUAGUUCAGACUUCAGAUUAAUGUUAUAUGAAGAUAUUGGAUCAACCCUUUUAUAGGGAAUCAAUGUCGAUUAGAAUAUAAGAAAGUUGCUGAAAAUCUGUGAAUCUUUAGAAGGUAAUAGUAUUUCGAUUAUAAAAAUAUAAAAUUGUAGAUACAAAUUUAAAUAUCUAUCAAUUAUUUAGUCGCCUAUUAAUUUUGAGUUCAUAUAUACGUUCUCCCCUACGUUUUUGCGUAUCCUUGAUAUGUAUAACAACUCCCAUUUUUGCGAAAAAAAGGGUUCUCCCCUGCAUUAAUUUUUUUUUCUGAAGAAUUCUCAUAUGUUUUCUCAUAUGAAAAUGUUGUUGCAUGAUUAUAGUCCAACAAAGAAUAUCUAAUAAUCAGUUUUUAAGUUGCACAAACUAAUACUGUAAGAAGCUAGCGAUUCACACACCGGCCGACUAUUCCUAGGAUCAUUGUGAAUUAUCAUAUUGGUAAUUUACUAAUGCAUAUAUAACACUAUCUUACAAGUUACAAAUAUUUUUAUGAUAAAGUUUUGAGUGAUUUUUUUCCAACAAAUAUUCGAAAAGCGAACAAACAUUUAGAAUCCCAAAAAACUAUCUGAAAUUACAAACUGGUGGCCCAAUGUACAUUUAAUUAUCUGGAUAUGAGUGAUUGUAUAGGUUUGUAUAUAAGGUGGUCCGGGUAACGGGACAAAUGUAGUAUAUGUCAAGAUAAGAAGCCAUGUUUGGUUGUGAAGGUUCAUUACCUUGGCAUUUUAAAUGUUGUUGGAAGAAAAAGAACAUAACAAAAACAAAGUACAUUGACAAAGUAUAAGAAGAAUGGAAAGCUAAGUAUAUAUGCAGGAGCAUCAACUCCCCAAGGAAAAAACCACAACUUAUUAACCCCUUCUCUAUGCUUACUCAUGUAACUAUCAGUAAUUGUCCAACCUGUUUGUCUUUCAUGUGGAACUUACUGCCCCCUCCCCCCUUAAGUAUUUUUUUAUUUUUAGGGCAAAAAGCUAAGAUACUCAUAUGAACUAUGAGAUCUUUCUAUUUGGAUAUAUUCGCGCAAUUUACAUUAUGUGUGCAAUAUCAUUUCAUUGAAAAUGGUACCUAAACUGUUUUGCUUUAGAGUUACACUUCAUGAUAUAUUUUGCUUUGUGGUAUACCUGCACUUUAAUACUGAGAAUAUAUGUUAAAUACUUACGAUAGGCAAUCACUGUUUGUAGCUGGGAGGACUAUAAAGAACUAUAAACUGUUUUGCAUUGCUAUGGUGUAUUCAGUUUCUUAACAGACCAUUUGGUUAUUGAACAGACCUCUGGACCAGUAAUCCAUUUGGUGCAUGAUAUUAGGUAUAAAAUAAUUGCAAUUCCAUAUAUGAAAAUAGUUCAAAUAUAUAUAGGCCAAUGAAAAUGCAUCCAUUCUUACUACGUAUUCUCUACAACCUCUUUAUGUUUUGGUGGGUUAAAAGGUAACUUGAAUGUCUAUGAGCUUAACAAUGCCACCUCAAUUGGGCCAAGCCAGUAAACUAAUUAACUAGAUGGUCGAUCCUUGGUAAUAUGUUCCCUUUUGUGUGAGCCCAUCAUUGGUAGAUCCUCUGGACCUAUAGUGGUUAUCAAAGGCAUAAUAGAAUUAUUCCAGUAUUGAUUCAUCUUUAUGGGAACCUUGGUGACGCUAAUUGGUGUUCUUUGUUGAAAUCUGAAUCCAAGUUUUUUUUUUUUUUUUGUUUAAUAUCUUUUUUUUUUUGGUAAACUAUUGUGCUUUUUAAAAAAUUUUAUGAUAUACCCUAUAUUGCUGACAGAAUUUUCAAAAUUUUGAAGGCAUGAAAGUUCGAUUCAAAAAUUUUCAAUAGAAAGUUUAUCAUGUUUCCAGGCUGCGAGAAUAUGUGGUUGAUCACGACGAUGGAACCAAAAAACGUCGACCAGGAGUUGAAAGAAAGUAUAUUUUGUAACAAUAGAGAUGACACGUAAGUUUUACUGGGUUUAUUAAACGAAAGUACUCAAAACAUGCACCUAUAUAGAUAAUAUUUUGAAUUUCGUAGUUCGAUAUGUUAAGAAUAUUAAAACCAUAAUUUGGUUGCUAUGGUAAAUAAUAUGAAAGAGGACCUCUUUUAGGGUUUAGGACCUUAUCAAAUCCAUGUUCUUUUUAAUAUAUGUCAUGCAUAUUCCCCUCCUCCACCCUCAACAUCUUUUUUCUUUUCCUUAGUCUUAUUUGUUAUUUUUUUGUAUUGGUGGUGCUAUAUUCGGUCUCAUCUAUCUGUGCUUUCGGGUAAUACAACUGAUUUGCGUGGAAGCUCAGUUGAAAGGCAUUGUAGAAGUUGUAUGGAGAUCGAUGAUGGUUAAAGCACGCAACCCAUUCUAGGAGCAAAGGUGUGUUCUUCCAGUUUUAAUUAAUCUUGAACUCAUUUAGGAAUUUAAUUAAUCUUGGUUAGUUGCCUGGAUUUGCUGACCAUUUCAGCAACUGUGUGGAGAUGUUGUUGUGCAACUAACCUAAUGCAGGAGGUGACAUGUGAGAAAUGCUAUGAUAAUUUCUUCUUACUGCCCAAAUUAUAUGCAUUGCGAAGUACUGUAGGUUUUUUUAGAGGUUAUCGAACAACAAAAUUAUCAGGAAUACUGAAGUUACAGACAGGUUGCAGAAAUUAAGGAACUGACUUGGCAUUUGUUGAAGGAAGAAGCUCCAACCAAUGCAAAUUACCCAUAUAUAUAGAGAUAUCUAAUCAUUAGUUGGGGGAUUCUGAUUACACCAUAGCAACAUGUACUUUAAUUUUGUUCAUUUUUUUGGUAUUUUCUAUAUUAUUUGCCUUUUUUUUGUUUUGUUUUUAUUUUGCUCUAUAAUGUUUACUCUAUAAUUGAAUUCUUACUAUGUUUACUCUAUAAUUGAAUUCUUACUUUCUUAGUGAUAUCAUCUAUCACACAAACCCCUACCUAUGUAACGUUUUCUCACAUUCUUA